RNAcentral lists this long non-coding RNA (4741 nucleotides) under Ananas comosus (pineapple). RNAcentral describes it as "long non-coding RNA (ACOM_LNC001432)". The record is from RNAcentral. Lineage: Eukaryota; Viridiplantae; Streptophyta; Magnoliopsida; Poales; Bromeliaceae.
UGGUUCCUCCCAAAAUUCAGGGUCUCUAUUGAUGGCCCAUCCGUUGACGAACACUCGAGUUUUCUUUGGAACGAAGUAGUCUUUUAUAUAGCAAUCUUUGAGUGAUUCUCUCGGAAGUAACAGUGGAGCUGGAGGGUGUAACCGCAAGGUUUCUUUAACCACGGCCUUCAAGUAGGUCAUCGCGUUCAACUGUUCCUCUCGAACCAUGCGUUUUUCGAGAACGAUCCCUCUCACCUCAUCUUGUAGUUUUUCCAUUGUUUUGGAGUUUCGAACAAGCUCCGCCAUGGCCCAUUCUAGGGUUGUAUAAGUUGUCUCUGUUCCUGCGCCAAACAUACCCUGCAAAUAUAUAAAACAAAGAUGAUACCAAGUAUUAAAGUUUAUAUAGUCAAAAAUAAAUAAAUAAAUAGAAGAACUUUGGUCUACUUUGGUUGUGCUAAUAAUUUCUUUUUUUUUCCUCCAGUGCCUUUGAACUAAUGAUUCAAAAUUCAAAAAUAUUACCAUCGAAAUUGCUUUCAUGUGAUCUUUCUCCAACUUGAAAUCCAAAUUUGAAUCUUUCUGAAGUGAGAGCAACACAUCGACGAAGUCCUCUUCCCCAUCAUCCUUUCCAUUCUCAUGAUCCUCAAUCACCUCAUCAAGUAGAUCAUCCCAUCUCUUGAAGUUCCUUCUCGCCCUCGAACUCAACCCCCCCAAGAACACGCCCAACCACGCUAACCAAGGGAAGUAGUCCUCUAUAUUAAACGCACCUAGAAGAUACGAAUUCUCCUCGAGAAGCUCAUGGAAGAGUUCAUUCCUUCGCCCUCCUCUAAAGAGCUUUCCCGAAACCACCCUACAUGUCAUAUCAUUUGCGAAAGAGAAUAGAACUUCACUCAUAUCUAUUGUUCUAGGCGAAGAACAUUGUCUUAUCUUUUCUAUCAUGAACGCGACUUCCUCCUCCCUCAUGAGAUGAUAAGAUUGCACCCUUUUCGCGCUUAGGAGGUGAAUGAUACAAAGCUGUCUUACCUUCCUCCAAUACUCACCGUAUGGUGAGAAACCCAAGCCCAUGUUGUUGUAGAAAAGGAUCUUCGUGACCUUCGAAGAAGGUCGGUUCGCAAAACUUAUGUCGUGGGUCUUCAUGAUCUCACGCGCCAUGUCGGGUGAGGAGACGAUAAGCGUAAGGAUUUCGCCAAGUUGGAGAAGCAUGAGGGGGCCAUGCUUCUUCGAGAGAGAGGCGAGAGAGCGAUGAGGGAGCGAACCGAGUUGGUGGAGGUUUCCUAUGAGAGGAAGCUUGGGAGGGGAAGGGGGGAGCUUGGUUUUGUGAGAGGAAGUUCUUUUGGUGAUAACAAGGAAAUAGAAAAGAGGGGGAAGGAGGAGAGAGGCCAUUAGAGAUAGGCCUAGUGCAACUUGUAGUAUUGUUAGGGCCAUUGCUUCAAAGUGUUAUUCUCUUGAAGACACUAUUAAUUUGCUCAGUUUGCCUUUCAUUUAUAGUUGUAGAUGGUUUGCAUUUAUACACUUGAUAGCAGUGGAUGCACUAAUUGAAGAUAUUAUAUAUUUCUACUCUUGUAGUGUAGCAUAUCACUCCUGAUGAGAUAUAAUAUACAACAUUAGUUUAUAUAAGAAAAGGUUUCAUUUUAAUGGAAAUUAAACUUUUUUAUUCAGUGACAAAUAUCAAGAAUUAAAUCUACAACAUCAUAAAAUAGAAGAGAAUUAUAUAUAUAUCAUGUACAAAAUUACAAGAGAGAUAACAAAAAAAUCGAAAUAAAAAUACAUUUAAUUGACCUAUUAAAUUGUAAAUGAAAGGAACUUACCAAAACAUGAAAACCAAGGAAUUUAAAACUGACUCCAAUAGAUGUAUUAUGUAGAAAACAACUUAGAAAUAAUUUUAUUAAAUGGCAAUUAUAUGUCAUCUAUGGAUAAGGGCCCUUCCAAACCAGCCGAAUAAAACAAAAUUAUAUAUAUUUUAUAAAAAAGAAAUGAAUGAGAAGUAGAACCCAAGAAACGAAGAACCACAAUUAAUGCAUGCACACCUACACAAGUGAGACAAAUAAAUUAAAGCACCUCAAGGAAAAUUCCAUACCAAGUGUAUAUGCAAAUGGAAUUUUGUGCUUGUUCAUAUAUAAUUUCAGCUUAGCUGAUAAGCGCGCAAAAAAAAAAAAAAAAAGGAAAAUUGAAUGCUCAAUUUAAGUCGUUCGUAUCUUACUGUUAUUACAAAUUUGGACUUAUAAUUGUGCCACUGAUACUUUUUUUUUUUUUUUUUUAAGUGACACACGCAUAACUGACAUUGAGCAUUUUUUUUUUUUUUUUAUUUUUUUUACUCUUGGUAGAGGUGGCUAGAAUUCUCCACACUAUAAAAUUUAUGACAUUUAGCAAGAAUAAUUAUUGUUACUCUGGCUAUUGUCGUACAGUUUAGUAGUUAAUAUUUAUUUCGUCAUUAAUUUUUAGCACUAUAAAAGCUAAAAGUUUUAUAGUGCUGUGGAAGUAGAGACAAGAUUUUUCAAUGUUGCUUGUUUUUAGUAUCUAUUUUUAUUUUUAUGUCACAUCUCAAAAUUUGUAGUAACAAUUGACUUAAUUACUAGAUGAUGAAUCGAAGUUGAGCCAGAAUAAUUCUAAAAAUAUUACUGUUCAUAUAAUUUUAACUUUUCAAUCUUUGGAUUUACAAUUAUUUCAUCUACUAUCACUAAACUCCGGGCAUUCAAAUGUUGGCUUAAAUGGACACUGCUCUGUGACGGGAGACCAUGUUGACCGAGUCAUGUUCGAAAUGGCAUAAGACAGGAUGGGUCGAGUCAUGUUCGAAAUGGUGCGAGAUUGGUUGGGUCGAGUCACAAUCGAGACCCGUAGGUGCUGCAUUUGUAUGCUUUAAGUGAAUUGAUUGUAUAUUUUUAACAGCUCGAGCUUUUGGGAUUUAUGGUGCGCGCCAACGAUUCUGAUGAAUUAUACAUUUUCACAUAAGUUAAAGGGGUGAUUUAGCCCUAUUAUAUAAAUAAUAAUACUUGCUAGUCCAUAAUAAUUAUUAUCAACAUGGAACCUAAUCCAAAUAAUUAAUCAAUUGGGUCUAAUUAUUGGAUUUGGACUAAUUAUUUAUUGCUAGAUUUGGUCAAGAGAUUAAUUCAAGUACGACUUUUCCACUUCACUUUCAAUGUGGAAGAAACACUGACUUAUCACACAUGAUUCCAAAAGCACUUAAUUUCCAAAGAAGUUUUAUUGCUUAAAUUUUCUCUGGGCUAAAUUAGCUUUCCCCAAAAAACUUGCGAUGCAAGUAAAAGCAUAAUUAACUUUUCAUUUAAUAGAAAGAAAAAAAAAAGAAAUUGGAGAUGAUAAAAUAUCUGCAUCAAUAAUCAGCAUUAAUUGUUAAAAUAUAGAAUUUAUUUGAACUAUAAAACCAUUUUGAAUUUAUUUGAACUAUAAACAUAAUCUAAAUAAGUUAAAGUAUUUAGAUACAAACGUAUAGAAUUUAUCUGAACUAUAAAUUAACCAAUUUGAAUCUACUACUCAACCUUUCAAAAUUUUGAAUUUACUAUCCAACCUUUUAAUUUGUAUGAUUUUAGUCGGUCAACAUCACUUUGACUUCAAAAUGUAAUUAAACUAAUUACUUAUUUCAAUAAACUUAUGAUUCCGAGAAUUGCAUGAAGUAUAUAAACUAAAUCUGUAACGGUCUAUAAUUCAUGUAAUUUCUAUAUGUUUUCACCAAGUAAUUAGGAGUCAAUUAAAAGGGGAAAAAAUUAUUAAUGUAAUCCGAAUUAUGUGGAAAUACAAUAUGAUAAAUUUUUAGGUAAUUCAAAUUCACCUUUUCCUUGAAAGAAAAAAAAAAUGCCAGUUUUGAGAUCUUUUAAAUCAUAACAAUUUCAACUAGUUUUUGAUAAUUUUAAACACUCUAGAUCAUAGUUGGCUAUUCGAACCGUCUCUUCAAAUUAAUUUUUAAUUUUAUUCGCCAAUACGAAGAUUUUACAUACAUUCCAAGCAACAUACUACAACAAGCUCAUUCCAGAGAGAAUGGUACCAUCAUUUAAUUUGGAUAACAACAACUUUCUACGGCAAACAAGGUUUUGCAACUAAGUGAAGUUUUUCGGCCCGAGGAGUCAAAAAUCCAGGUUUCUCACUCAUAUCCAAUUCCUCUCUUCUCAAUCCAAGAGGCAACUCCCACUCGAACCGAUGAACAAGAUUAGCCAACGCGAGCUCGACAUCCAACACGGCAAAUUGCAUUCCGGGACAUAUCCUUCGACCUGCCCCGAAGGGAAUGAACUGGAAAUCGUGACCUUUGAAAUCCACCGAGCUAUCGAUAAACCUCUCGGGACGGAACUCAUCUGGUUCCUCCCAAAAUUCGGGGUCCCUAUUGAUAGCCCAUCCGUUGACGAACACUUGAGUUUUCUUUGGAACAAAAUAGUCUUUUAUGUAGCAAUCAUCGAGUGAUUCUCUCGGAACUAAUAGUGUAGCUGGAGGGUGCAACCGCAAGGUUUCUUUAACCACGGCCUUCAAGUAGGUCAUCGCGUUCAACUCAUACUCUCCAACCAUUCGAUUUUCGCCGACAAUCCCUCUCACCUCAUCUUGUAGCUUUUUCAUUACUUCGCAGUUCCGAACAAUCUCCGCCAUGGCCCAUUCUAGGGUUAUAAAGGUUGUCUCCGUUCCUGCACCAAACAUAUCCUGCAAGAAUGAGAAAUAAAAAUAAGACAAAGUAUUUGAGGUCAAAAUAUAUAUAGUCAAAAAAUAAAAGUAAAAAAGAACAAAACUUUGGUCUCAUUUUCAUAGUGCCAAUAAUUUUUCUUUUUUU